CUAACAUAAUAUACUUUUCUAGCAGAAGAGAGGUGGUAAUACUUUAUAGCAGUUAUACUACUAUAAUACUAACAUGUUAUACUAGUAUAGCAGUAAUACUACUAUAAUACUAACAUGAUAUACUGGUAUAGCAGGAGAGAUGAGGAGAGAAUCAUCAUAAAGAUACAUAUUAAUAUAUGUAUAUUCUUGUUAUAUUAUGUAUAUUCAGUUAUAUUACAAUAAUACAGAGGAGAGGUAGUUUAGCUGAGAAGAGAUGGGAAAGAUUAACACUGCAUCUAAUUCCUCUCUCUCUCUCGCUCUGUCUCUCAUCCCCCUCUCUCUACAGAUGGCGGACACCAUUGACAUCAACUUCCAGAGCGACUUGAUGGUCAUCUUUGAAGAGAACCUUUUCUGAGAGAGAGAUUGAGAAAGGAGGAGAGGGAGAGAAAGAGAUAUGAACUCUACCUUAUCCCACCAUGGCUGGGAUUUCACACACAACACCCUCCCUCCCUCUGAUUAGAGACCCCAGACCAGGAUGUGAGCUCCAGAGACUUGAAGGAGACUGAGGUGAGGUACAGUAAUAAGGAGAUGCCCUCCCUCCCUCUGAUUAGAGACCCCAGACCAGGAUGUGAGCUCCAGAGACUUGAAGGAGACUGAGGUGAGGUACAGUAAUAAGGAGUAGCCCUCCCUCCCUCUGAUUAGAGACCCCAGACCAGGAUGUGAGCUCCAGAGACUUGAAGGAGACUGAGGUGAGGUACAGUAAUAAGGAGAUGCCCUCCCUCCCUCUGAUUAGAGACCCCAGACCAGGAUGUGAGCUCCAGAGACUUGAAGGAGACUGAGGUGAGGUACAGUAAUAAGGAGUAGCCCUCCCUCCCUCCCUCUGAUUAGAGACCCCAGACCAGGAUGUGAGCUCCAGAGACUUGAAGGAGACUGAGGUGAGGUACAGUAAUAAGGAGUAGCCCUCCCUCCCUCUGAUUAGAGACCCCAGACCAGGAUGUGAGCUCCAGAGACUUGAAGGAGACUGAGGUGAGGUACAGUAAUAAGGAGUAGCCCUCCCUCCCUCCCUCUGAUUAGAGACCCCAGACCAGGAUGUGAGCUCCAGAGACUUGAAGGAGACUGAGGUGAGGUACAGUAAUAAGGAGAAGCCCUCCCUCCCUCUGAUUAGAGACCCCAGACCAGGAUGUGAGCUCCAGAGACUUGAAGGAGACUGAGGUACAGUAAUAAGGAGUAGCCCUCCCUCCCUCUGAUUAGAGACCCCAGACCAGGAUGUGAGCUCCAGAGACUUGAAGGAGACUGAGGUGAGGUACAGUAAUAAGGAGAUGCCCUCCCUCCCUCCCUCUGAUUAGAGACCCCAGACCAGGAUGUGAGCUCCAGAGACUUGAAGGAGACUGAGGUGAGGUACAGUAAUAAGGAGAAGCCUCCCCCCCUUAGCGGUGGGGACCGGGAGUACAACUUCCACUUUUUGCAAUUUCAGAUGCGUUUUUUUGUGUCUAACUGCCCGUUUAUCGUUGAUGAUUGGUGGUUGCCGUGGGCAAUGGUGAAACCGGAUACCUAUGGAUAAACAGAUAUGUGAACUCCUCUUGUAUUCUGAAAUGAAACCGGAGGGAGGAGGGGAGGACUGAGAACUAUUACCUGAACAUAAAGAAUAAAAAGAGGGUUUAAUGGAGAAAGAAGAUGUGAACACCUUCUAACGUGCGAGAGGGAGGGCCGGGCGAACGAGAGGAUGGACAGACUUCUUUCUCUUUGAUUCAUUUCUCUCUUAAUCUAGAAUUUUUCUCUCCCUGUUUUUUGAUGUUGGGUUUUAUUAAGCGGGGUGGGUGAGGAGAUGGGGGAGGGAGAAGUGGGCCGGCUGUGUGUGUUACCAUGUUUACGUCCCAAAAGGGCACCCUAUUCCCUUCAUAUAGUGCACUACUUGUGUCCAGGGCCCAUGGGGAUCUGAUCAAAAGUGGUGCGCUAUAUAGGGAGUAGGGUGCCAUUUGGGACUUAUCCUCUGAGAUGGGUUCAGUUUCUCUCCGGACAGCAAGAUGAACACCGGGCUCACACCCCAGCACUAUAAAGAAGCACCCUUCCUUCCUUCCUUCCUUCCUUCUUACUCUCCUUGUCCUUUGUGACAUCACUGACUUGACACAACUUGAAAGUGUAAAAGCUUGAACUCCAUUUUUUCAGUCAUAUCUGAUUCAUUGAUUAUUUCAAGAAAGGAGGCAGAGAGGGAAGAAAGGAGGCAGAGAGGGAGGGAAGGAAGGAGGGAACGAGGGGAAAAAGAGGAAGGAUGAGUGAAGAGAGGAGGGAGAGAGGGAAGGAAGGAGGGAACGAGGGGAAAAAGAGGAAGGAUGAGUGAAGAGAGGAGGGAGAGAGGGAAGGAAGGAGGGAACGAGGGGAAAAGAGGAAGGAUGAGAAGAGGGGGAGGGCGGGGUACAUUUUAAAGGUGUUGGAAUGUGGCUCUUGCCUUACAGCUCUGACCUGUAAAUGAACACACGCCACUGAUAUAUAUAUAUAUAAAUAAAUAAAUAAAUAUUAUAUACGAUGAAAAGUCCCUAAAAAUAAUUGGAUUAUGUUGUUGGGAGGGAGAACGGCUAAUCUGCCUUGUGCUCAAUUCCCUUUUGGUUUUUUAGAGAAUUGAC
RNAcentral lists this long non-coding RNA (2600 nucleotides) under Salmo salar (Atlantic salmon). RNAcentral describes it as "lncRNA (ENSSSAG00000083514.1)". The record is from RNAcentral. Lineage: Eukaryota; Metazoa; Chordata; Actinopteri; Salmoniformes; Salmonidae.